Molecule: unclassified non-coding RNA, 1041 nt
Filed under: Hevea brasiliensis (rubber tree)
Lineage: Eukaryota; Viridiplantae; Streptophyta; Magnoliopsida; Malpighiales; Euphorbiaceae
Source: RNAcentral
CACCUGUAAUUGCUGCUAGCCAGGUUAAAGAUCAUUACUUACCCAUUUUAGAAUUCCCAUUUUUCUUCUUAAAUCAAAGUAUCUAUAAUUGCUUUGUGUUUAAAAUUGCUUGUUUGGCUAUUUUCUGCUAACAAAACUAAUCUAUGCUUGCAAUUGUCCAACCUAUUCAAGGAAUUGGGUGGAAGUUCACUUAGAUAAUUGUUAGGAAUUACAUGUAUUGAGUUUAAUUACAAGCCUAAAACGGUCACUAAAAGGGCCUUUUCUUGAAGUCACUCUAAGUGAAGUAGGGAAAAAGAAUAGCUUGUGAGCUUAUACGUAUGUUGUGUUUGCCUGAGAAUUUAGUAAGCCCAAGGCUGCAUGGGUAGAGAUGUUGAGAUUUAGACUUUAGAGUGGUUAUUGUACAGUUGAAAGUGUAGAUAAGGGGAGGAACUUUUUGCUCUUUGGAGGGGCAUAUAGAAUUGGACUUGGGGUGAAAUUUCAUUAUGGUGGGAUGCUUUGAAGAUUGCAUUUGUUUUUCCUGGAAUUUUUCUAACAGGAGGCCCAGCAUCACAAACCAAACUAUUGUGGAGCAGUCUUACGAUACCUUACUUGUUUGUCUUUUAAUAAUGAGAAGUAAGAGUUUCUUAUUAAGUGUAGUGGAAAGAUUUGGGUGUGCCAGGCCUCUAUGACGAUCAUAACUUUUCAAAUUUUCAUUAUGAAAUUUUUGCUUAAUCUUUUCUAGUUUUAUUUAGCAAACCACAUCAUUCUUGUGUAUUCUGUUAUCUUCUCAUGCUUAUUUUUCUACUCGGCUAUUGUAACGAUAAUUUUUGUGGUGAGUGGCUCCUGUGCUGUGAAUGAGUCUGGAUUUGUUAAGCCUUGCAAACCUCAAGUCAUUUUACCUUAAAAAGAUUUAUUCUAUGCAGCCUUUAAGAGAGGAUGGAGUUUGAUUCUGUAAACAAAAACUUUAAGUGCAAUGUUUUUCAUUCUUUUACAAGAUCUCUCUAUAGGCAUUGAUAUCUUGCCAUAGUGCCUUAGAGGGGGCACAGGUUUUAGGUUUUUUUU